CCGAGUAGUAAUACCUGGUGAUUUCAGUGGCGCACGGGUGAGUAACACGUGAAUUACAUGCCCUUCAGUGGGGAAUAGCCCAGGGAAACUUGGAUUAAUGCCCCAUAGUCUCGCAAGAGUAAAGGUGGCCGCAAGGCUGUCGCUGAAGGAUUGGUUCGCGCCCUAUCAGCUUGUUGGUGAGGUAACGGCUCACCAAGGCUACGACGGGUACCUGGUCUGAGAGGACGAUCAGGCACACUGGAACUGAGACACGGUCCAGACACCUACGGGUGGCAGCAGUCGAGAAUAAUUCACAAUGGACGAAAGUCUGAUGGUGCAACGCCGCGUGGAGGAUGACGGUCUUAGGAUUGUAAACUCCUGUCAUCCGGGAGAAAGACCUGGGAGUUAAUAGCUCACAGGGUUGAUAGUACCGGAAGAGGAAGGGACGGCUAACUUCGUGCCAGCAGCCGCGGUAAUACUAAGGUCCCCAGCGUUGUUCGGAAUCACUGGGCGUAAAGGGAGCGUAGGCGGCGCGGUAAGUCGGAUGUGAAAUCCCGAGGCUCAACCUCGGAACUGCAUCUGAUACUGCCGUGCUAGAGUAAUG
This 583-nucleotide ribosomal RNA is filed under the name uncultured Luteolibacter sp. RNAcentral describes it as "bacterial SSU rRNA". It matches the Rfam family "Bacterial small subunit ribosomal RNA", at positions 72 to 651 of the family's 1533-position model. Lineage: Bacteria; Pseudomonadati; Verrucomicrobiota; Verrucomicrobiia; Verrucomicrobiales; Verrucomicrobiaceae. The record is from RNAcentral.